RNAcentral lists this ribosomal RNA (473 nucleotides) under uncultured Magnetococcus sp. RNAcentral's name for it is "bacterial SSU rRNA". It matches the Rfam family "Bacterial small subunit ribosomal RNA", at positions 79 to 587 of the family's 1533-position model. Lineage: Bacteria; Pseudomonadati; Pseudomonadota; Magnetococcia; Magnetococcales; Magnetococcaceae. The record is from RNAcentral.
UUCGGGACGCCGGCGAGUGGCGAACGGGUGAGUAACACGUGGAGACCCGCCCUGGGGUGGGGGAUAACAACUGGAAACGGUUGCUAAUACCGCAUACGCCUUACGAGGGAAAGAUUUAUUGCCCCUGGAGGGUUCCGCGUCGGAUUAGCUUGUUGGUGGGGUAACGGCCUACCAAGGCGACGAUCCGUAGCUGGUCUUAGAGGAUGAUCAGCCACACUGGAACUGAGACACGGUCCAGACUCCUACGGGAGGCAGCAGUGGGGAAUAUUGCGCAAUGGGGGCAACCCUGACGCAGCGAUGCCGCGUGGGUGAAUAAGGCCUUAGGGUUGUAAAGCCCUUUCAGUGGGAACGAUGAUGACGGUACCCACAGAAGAAGCCCCGGCUAACUCCGUGCCAGCAGCCGCGGUAAUACGGAGGGGGCGAGCGUUGUUCGGAAUUAUUGGGCGUAAAGAGCGCGUAGGCGGCUUGUCAAG